AAUACAGUAUUAAACAUUAGAAAAAUGCCAUUUAGACAGCAAGAUAUUGCCACGAAAUUAACUUACAAACAAGGACAAAACCUUAAUUUUAUAUAUAUAAAAAAAAUUUCUUAAAAUAUCUCCAAAAGAUCAAAUCACGUCUUCUUCACACAUCAACUAAUAGAAGUUAAUAAAGGUGUCAGCUUUAAGAUACAGUAAAAGUUACUCCACGAUAUCUCUUGGGAGAAGCUCGAAUCAUUCCGCCAUUAAUAGAUAAUCGAAGAUGAAGUUCUAAACUUCCUACUUGGAUCCUAGUCUAAAUAAGUUGAAACCGUACAAAUUUAGGAUUAAAUUUCCCAAAGGAUAACGUUUUUAGUCAAUGAAUUGAAACUUUCUAACAGAUUAAAAGCACCGAAUGGACUCAUUUCGCCUUUAUAACCCAACAAGAAGGAGCUUUCUAGUUUUAAAAGGGUUAAAAAUCUCUAGAGAUUUAAAUAAGUGGAUAAAAGUCAUUAACACUCUCUAAAUAUUCUGUUUAAUGUUAUAAUUUAUAUAAAAACAAUUCAACAAACCAUAUUUACUUAUUUAAAAUUUCAGUUUUUUUUUGUGUGAAUGUGUUUGUAGUUCUUUCUUGCUGUUAGAUAUUGUGUUUAAGAGCUGUGAGAAUCUAAGAAAACAAUUGUUUUUGCUGUAAAUGUUUAAAGCCGAAACGAGAUUUUACAAAAGAGAAAAUAAAAAUAAUGAAAGUUGUUCUUACGAGUGACGUGAGGAUGAACGAUGUCGAACAAAACCAUUGAUUGCUAAAGCACUAAGCCUAAUUGAAAAGACCCCCUUCUUUCCUCUAUUUGAUCACUGUUAAUGAUUAGUGGGAAAUUGUUCGU
Molecule: long non-coding RNA, 860 nt
Organism: Centruroides sculpturatus (bark scorpion)
Lineage: Eukaryota; Metazoa; Arthropoda; Arachnida; Scorpiones; Buthidae
Exons: 3
Source: RefSeq, a predicted model, not a curated record